This 253-nucleotide ribosomal RNA is filed under the name uncultured bacterium. RNAcentral's name for it is "partial 16S ribosomal RNA". It matches the Rfam family "Bacterial small subunit ribosomal RNA", at positions 524 to 776 of the family's 1533-position model. The record is from RNAcentral.
UACGUAGGGGGCUAGCGUUGUCCGGAAUCAUUGGGCGUAAAGCGCGUGUAGGCGGUCCGGUAAGUCCGCUGUGAAAGUCGGGGGCUCAACCCUCGAAUGCCGGUGGAUACUGUCGGGCUAGAGUGCGGAAGAGGCGAGUGGAAUUCCUGGUGUAGCGGUGAAAUGCGUAGAGAUCAGGAAGAACACCGGUGGCGAAAGCGCUCUGCUAGGCCGCAACUGACACUCAUGGACGAAAGCUAGGGGAGCGAAUGGG